GAUUUUUAACGCGUAUAUUGGCAAAUAUACAACAGUCGGACGUUUGCGAUCAACUUUUGCACUUGAUUCACGAGAAAUAUACUACGGUCCUCUCGAAAUACACUACGACACGAACGAAACCGUCUACAAAAGUGAAAACAGGCCCUGAAAAUAUUGUAGUAUCCGGGGUGAAUACACGAAAAAGAGGCUCUACGAUUUU
The sequence is a regulatory RNA element, 199 nucleotides long. It matches the Rfam family "Baculoviridae Nucleocapsid Assembly essential Element". From Rfam's summary of the family: Internal cis-element within the ac83 gene. The record is from Rfam.